Onychostoma macrolepis is the source of this 313-nucleotide long non-coding RNA. RefSeq lists it as uncharacterized. The transcript is spliced from 3 exons. The record is from RefSeq and is a predicted model, not a curated record. NCBI's taxonomy places the organism in Eukaryota, Metazoa, Chordata, Actinopteri, Cypriniformes, Cyprinidae.
AUUUACAUGAGUGACUGUAUAUUUUUUAGGUCCUGUUUUAAAAAGAUCAUUUGUAAAAUUGCUGUUUAACUCCAGCAAGGAUUUGACCGAGUCUGCAAUGAGAGAAAAUGUUCUGAAACAGUUGGGAUCUGCUCUAGCUGCUAGAGGACUCACAGAUGUGACUCUGCGUUGGUCUCAAACCCCUAAACGGGUGAUCCGGAAAGUGAACGCUAAGAGUCACUGUAGUAAGGAAAAUUAAUGCUCUGGAAAUCAACACUGCCUUUAUUCGCUACAUUCAUAUUCAUUAAAGACAAUGAAUUCAUUCUAAACACAC